AGCGAACGCUGGCGGCAGGCCUAACACAUGCAAGUCGAACGGACCCUUCGGGGUUAGUGGCGGACGGGUGAGUAACACGUGAGAACGUGCCUUUAGGUUCGGAAUAGCUCCUGGAAACGGGUGGUAAUGCCGAAUGUGCCCUUCGGGGGAAAGAUUUAUCGCCUUUAGAGCGGCCCGCGUCUGAUUAGCUAGUUGGUGAGGUAACGGCUCACCAAGGCGACGAUCAGUAGCUGGUCUGAGAGGAUGACCAGCCACACUGGGACUGAGACACGGCCCAGACUCCUACGGGAGGCAGCAGUGGGGAAUCUUGCGCAAUGGGCGAAAGCCUGACGCAGCCAUGCCGCGUGAAUGAUGAAGGUCUUAGGAUUGUAAAAUUCUUUCACCGGGGACGAUAAUGACGGUACCCCGAGAAGAAGCCCCGGCUAACUUCGUGCCAGCCGCCGCCGUAA
Molecule: ribosomal RNA, 449 nt
Filed under: uncultured bacterium
Lineage: Bacteria
Description: partial 16S ribosomal RNA
Rfam family: Bacterial small subunit ribosomal RNA
Source: RNAcentral